GACGAAGGUGGCAAGCGUUGCUCGGAAUUACUGGGCAUAAAGGGCGCGUAGGUGGCGCGGUCAGUCGGCGGUGAAAGCCUGUGGCUUACCCAUAGAAUUGCCGACGAUACUGCCGUGCUCGAGGUCAGGAGGGGAGAGUGGAACUCCUGGUGUAGCGGUGAAAUGCGUAGAUAUCAGGAGGAACGCCGGUGGCGAAAGCGACUCUCUGGACUGCACCUGACACUGAUGCGCGAAAGCUAGGGGAGCAAACAGG
RNAcentral lists this ribosomal RNA (253 nucleotides) under uncultured bacterium. RNAcentral describes it as "partial 16S ribosomal RNA". It matches the Rfam family "Bacterial small subunit ribosomal RNA", at positions 524 to 776 of the family's 1533-position model. The record is from RNAcentral.